RNAcentral lists this transfer RNA (69 nucleotides) under Marmota monax (woodchuck). Its description in RNAcentral is "tRNA.Ala". The record is from RNAcentral. Lineage: Eukaryota; Metazoa; Chordata; Mammalia; Rodentia; Sciuridae.
GGGUGUAGCUCAGUGGUAGAAAGCUCACCCAGCAUGUGCGAGGCCCUGGGUUCGAUCCUCAGCACCACA